GUGGGGAAUAUUGGUCAAUGGACGGAAGUCUGAACCAGCCAAGUAGCGUGCAGGAUGACGGCCCUAUGGGUUGUAAACUGCUUUUAUACAGGGAUAAAGUCGGGAACGUGUUCCCGUUUGUAGGUACUGUAUGAAUAAGGACCGGCUAAUUCCGUGCCAGCAGCCGCGGUAAUACGGAAGGUCCGGGCGUUAUCCGGAUUUAUUGGGUUUAAAGGGAGCGCAGGCUGAUGAUUAAGCGUGACGUGAAAUGUAGCCGCUCAACGGCUGAACUGCGUCGCGAACUGGUUAUCUUGAGUGAGUUCGAUGUUGGCGGAAUUCGUGGUGUAGCGGUGAAAUGCUUAGAUAUCACGAAGAACUCCGAUUGCGAAGGCAGCCAACAAGGCCUUUACUGACGCUAAAGCUCGAAGGUGCGGGUAUCGAACAGG
Molecule: ribosomal RNA, 425 nt
Filed under: uncultured rumen bacterium
Lineage: Bacteria
Description: bacterial SSU rRNA
Rfam family: Bacterial small subunit ribosomal RNA
Source: RNAcentral